This 58-nucleotide non-coding RNA is filed under the name Heterosigma akashiwo. The record is from RNAcentral. Lineage: Eukaryota; Raphidophyceae; Chattonellales; Chattonellaceae.
GAAUGAUGAUCAAGCUUCUUCUUUUUUCCAACAUCAUUUAUAUUUUAUUUUUUUUAAA